CGCCCCUCCUCGGGCCUAUUACUUUGACUAAAUGUGAGCGCUCGAUGCAGGCCCUUGGGGCCUUGAAACCCGCAGCAAAGAAUAACGGAACAGGGGCUCCCUGCUUCCCUCUGGUCAGUGACGGGCCAAUGAUUUAUUGGGGGGAUCGGGGUGGGCCACAUGGCGGGGGUAGGGGUGAAAUCCGUUGAUCCUCGCCAGGUGAACUAGAGCGAAAGCAGCCCACAAGUACCCUUUCUUAGAUCAAGAACGAAAGUCUGGGGAUCGAAGAUGAUCAGAUACCAUCGUAGUCCAGACCCUAAAUGAUGCCGGCCAUGGAUGGGCGCUAGUCCAUCCCGAC
RNAcentral lists this ribosomal RNA (337 nucleotides) under Trichia varia. RNAcentral describes it as "bacterial SSU rRNA". It matches the Rfam family "Eukaryotic small subunit ribosomal RNA", at positions 734 to 1075 of the family's 1831-position model. The record is from RNAcentral. Lineage: Eukaryota; Evosea; Eumycetozoa; Trichiida; Trichiidae.